AAUUUACAUAUACAUGAUAUAUAUUUGGCUGCAUAGCUAUAUAAUUAUGACUACGCAGAUAAAUAUACACAUAUAAUAAUAAAUAAAUUUAUAUAUAUUCGUAAUUAUGAUUAUGUCGAAAAAUAUUAUGUACAUAUGUAUGUAUAUAUACAUGUAUAUGAAAAGGCAGUUUUAAGGUCAUUUUUAUUGAUAAAAAGGCAGUUUUCAAGACUUCUGGCAGUUGUCAGGUCAAUUUUGAAAUUUUGUCAUCGAAAGCGUUCAGGACCGUUCUUGACUGCGUUCCGUUUCAACGCAUGAUGCGCAUAAUGCAUUAUUCAUCCUUGUUUAACGUUUGACAAACAACAAGGAUGAACGAUGCAUCAUGUGUACCAUGCGUGAAACGGAACGUACCCCUUGUGUUUCUCAUAGGCUGCGGUCGAGUUGCCGCUACAAAUGCUUCGAAGCGUUUGAUUAACCAAUCAAAAGAAUAAAUUUAUAAAUUGACGAAUCAAAGAAUGCUUCGAAGUAUUCGUAGGGGCAACUUGACCGCACUCACAACUAUACGAAUGUAAGCGUUUAAACGUGUAGUCAAGAGUCGCACAUCGGUUGCGAAUGUGUUAACGAAAUUUUUGAACGUGGCUGAUGCAAUCGGCUGUAUUUAUAUCUGCUAUUCCUUUUUGCAUCCUCAACUUCAGCAUUUUUAUCUAUUACAUCACGGCAUUUUUCAUUACUUAUUACGCUCAUCAUAGCUCAACAUAUAUUAUUAUACCUCAUGGUCCUAUCGUCCCAUAUCUUCGGAGGGAUUAAGAAGAGAAGUGUAAUGUCAAGAGCUGCGUUCAGUUUCACGUAUUAUGCGCAUCAUACGUGGAACAAAACGCAGCUAAAUUGUUAAGCUGCUGCAAUGCAAUAUUGUAUCUGUUGAUUGUGUGGAUCGGUGCAAACCUCAAAGAGAGGUAGAUAGCUUUUUUGGAGAUUUUAAAUAUGAUAUAGUU
Monomorium pharaonis (pharaoh ant) is the source of this 971-nucleotide long non-coding RNA. RefSeq lists it as uncharacterized. NCBI's taxonomy places the organism in Eukaryota, Metazoa, Arthropoda, Insecta, Hymenoptera, Formicidae. The record is from RefSeq and is a predicted model, not a curated record. The transcript has 2 exons.